Non-coding RNA from Xyrichtys novacula (pearly razorfish), 7946 nucleotides. The record is from the annotation of a GenBank genome assembly. Lineage: Eukaryota; Metazoa; Chordata; Actinopteri; Labriformes; Labridae.
CAGAGCAGGAGUGGAAAGCCCUUUUGCCUAAGAAUGUGUAAAUAUCAAGAGCUGUUCCUUAAAAGCAAAGAGAAGGUAAGUCAACGCUUCUAUGUUCUCCACAUCAGGGAAAACUGGACUCUUUUAAGAUUCAACCAUCAAACUUUCUGCUGUUAUUUUUGGCUCAUAUUCACAAACUCUCUGUGCUAUCUAAAAACUCCUGUCAAUGUCAGGUCUUAAAACAGAUCUAUGUGCUCCUGAAGUUUCAUCUCAAAAAUAUAUGAGGAAGUGAAGAGUUGUGGUGGGUGAAUAUGAAAGCUCUGCCUCAAGGCACUGACCCCUAUACUGUUGAAUGGGCCAGUGCCUCAGUGCGUUUGCCCCAUGGCCCUGAUAAAAAGAGUCUCAGUUUUACUGUAAGUUGUAUGACACAUAGAGGUUUCACAUGGGAUUACUUAAACAGAGUUAACAGGUUCAGCCUUUACCAUUAACAGGAGGUUGCACAAAGGCUUAAUUCUAGCGUCUUUCAACAGAAUUAACAUAGUGAGUCUCAUUUUCACUGUAAAUCAUUAAAUAUUCAAAGGCUUAAUCUGAAAAGUCCCAGUUUCACUGUACAUAACAAGUUACAUAAGGGCUUACUGUUGCAGAAUUAAAAUGGUGUCUUCAUUUCCCCGUAAAUAGCAAGCUGCACAGAGGUGGCUAACUAACCCUCUGGAUAACUAUUUCAUUGUUGUCAUGGUGAAUCUCAGUUUCACUGUAAAUCGUGAGUUAAAUUCUUUGACACUGGUGAACUUUGUGAUUUGUUUGGCCUGAUAAGUUUCAUUUUCACAGUGAAAAGUAAGUUGCAUAAAGAUUCCACUCCACAGAAUUUAAAGGUGAGUCUUUGUUUCACUGUUAAUAGCAGAACAGAGUCUGCCCUCUGGAUAACUGCAGCAGUAUGAAAAUGGUGAGUCUCAGUUUUAUUGUAAAAACUUUACAGAGGCUUUCCACUAGCUUAUGAAAGGGUAUGUACCAGAAGAGGACAAGAGAAAGAAAUUGUCCUCAGAUUACCGCUGAUGGCAGCUGGUGUCAUUCUGGUGGAUUUGUGCCUCCUGCUUUUGCUCUCCAUUCAGGCUGUUUUUUCCAGCAGAAAGCGAGGUCUGCUGAUACCUGCUUGAUAGAGAGCUUUCAAAGAUAAAAACUGGAAUGCUUCUUAUCGUAACAUCUACAGAAAAGAUUCUGUCAUUUCAUGCAGGAUCUGUUAAUAGAGGUGAACAGUCUGCGGGUUGGUGCAGUCUAAAGUUAGAAGCUGAUGAUGACUUAGAGCUGGGAUUUAUGGUUCCUGACUCUGAGGAUGGUUUAUGUGGAGAGAAAAAAGGUUUGGAAGAGAGAUUGGAGGUAAUUAUUUGGACCCAUUGACCCCUCUCUCUGAAACAGAUCUGUCAGAGGAUCAGUGCGUUAAAGGGCAGAGCUGUUUUGGAAAGGACAAACAGAUCAGACGAAGAGAGACAGAGAGGGAGAGGCAGCCGAGGUAUUCUCACAAAGACACCUUUAAAAUGUUUUUACAGACAGACACAGACAGACAGACAGAGACGUGUGGACUCAUGCAGAAACAGACGGUGGAUGGAUGUAGGUGGAGGUGGAACAGAACGUCUCAGCUCUCUUCAUGUGUUUCCAAAGCUGGAGAGGACUAAGAGUCUCUGCAGCUCGGCACAGUCGCUCUUUGUAACCCCGACUCUCUGAGGAGAUCGGACCGCUCCAGCUGGAUCUCACCCAGCCAGAGUUUCUCACGUCCAACUCUGACAAUCAGACACAGGGGGGUGGACGGGAUAUUUUUACUUUCCAAAAUAGCAACUAAAACGUACCUGAUACUGCCCACAGCAAACACACACACUUUAGGAAACACGCACACACACACACAUACACACACCCAGCAGGCAGCAGCUCCAGCUCUCUAACAGCAAACAGAGGCGUUUUUAAACAGAGCUCUUUGUUUUAUUGCAUGCAGUGUUACUGCUCUGCUGGGAGCUCUAAAUACAGCAGGAACAAUACUCACUGUGUACACACUGAUGAUGUUAUAAACUGAUACUACCACACUGAGUUUGGCAGCUCAGAGAAAGAGAGAGAGAGAAAUUCAAAUCACUGCAGCCUUCAUUAAUGCCAUCCAUGCAGUAGUGUUUCUCAUGCACAGAUGUUAUCCUGUUUCUGAUUCAGAAGACUGCUAAAAUAACUGCAUACUAUAGUAGAUUUGAUUUUAGUCAAGGAAGAUGAUCUAGCUCAAAUCAGUGAUCACACAGCCUGUUAUAAGUGGCAGUGAGUUGCUAGUAUUCAUAGUGUGGUAACCCCUAAAAAGCUCAAGGCCUGACCUUCCUUACACUCAUUAAAGAGUUUAUGAUUUGUAAAACUGCAACAAAACAUGCUUGUUGUUACAUAUACACCUAGAUGCUGCAUUGGCUGUGUUCUCCGGCAGCUGUGAUACAGCAGUAAGUCCACCAUACUGCUAAGGGCAAGUCCGCCAUGUUACUAAACACAAACAGAUGUGCAGACUGUGGUUUUUAGAAUAAAAGGCACUAAUGUAAUUUUAUAUUUGACGGCUUUCCAUUAACUGUUUUGAUAUCCAACAAAUAUAUAAUUUAUGAUCUUGUGCCUCAGAAUUUUAACAUUGUUCUGAAGUAAACUCACAAUUUUAGUCAUAACAGUAUAUCAUCCAAUUUAACAACUUACACUUAACUUGUCCCUACCAACAAAACUUUAUGUCCUGUGCUUUUUCUCUUCUUCUUUUGGGUUGUAUGCCAGUUGAUUACACCUCUUUUUUGUAUAUAAUGUAUGUCUAUCUACUCUGUAUUUAUUUACUUAGCUGCAUACCCAGUUUUUGUGAUGUGUAGUGCAGUGCAAAUUCAUAUUAAUGCCUGUGCAAUAUAUUAUAAGUCAAUUUAGCUGUCAGUGUUUUUGUCCAUAUUAGGUAAAGUGUUUGAGACAUUUGGACUGAUUAAACCGGUGAGGUGGUCUCUGCUUCCUCUUUAAAUUACUUCAUUAAUUGAUGCAUAUUGGUGGUAAGCUCUGCAAACACAGAUGAGUCAGAAUUAGACCCAUAUUGUCAUUCAACAACAGCCAGUAGACGUCUUUCCAGAGUGCCCUCAGCAAUAUGGCGGCAACAUCUAUGACCCAUCAAGUCAAUGUAGCAUUGGCGUAUACAUGACGGCCAUGGGUACAACUGUAUGACCAGCUUGUAGAAAUGCACCAUAUUAGCUGCUUAUCAGUGCAGCUUUUAGUUUAAGGUUAAACACUUAGAUGCUAACUUAGCCAACACUAUACAUACAAACACACGCUGACCUCUACUUAAGUCAAAGUGUCUGCUGUGAUUUGUUUGUAUUUAUUCCAAAUUUUGACUCUCUGGUUCUUCAUCCACCAGUGUUUUUUUCCCCAGUGUGGUUUUAGUGCUUCUCUACAGCUGCUCACCUGUCUGCAGCUCCUACCUGUCAGAGUUCAGUCAGGUCAGAAACCACAUCCAUCAGUCAGUGAGGUUUGUUAGUGUGUUCUGUCAGAGCUGAGGGGGUUUUAUAAAUCACAGAGAGAGCUUUAACUACAAGCCUGCAGCUCCUCCUUCUCUUCCUCCUCACAGAUACACUGAUAACAGCAGACAAUACACAUCUUUGAACGCAAAAAGGGAGGAGAGGAGUAUGACUGAUAAGCACACACAUACACACUCAGAGUGGUGUGUGACAGCACAUCUCCAUGAGUGUGUUAUCAUCCGUCUUUAUGAGUCUCUGACAGGAAGUUCAGCUGUACUCUAAAUUACACGUCUGUGUGUCCUCCAUCUGCUCCACCAAACUGAAACAAAGCUUUCACAUUUAAUGGUCAGGAGCGAGUUAUUACACAUGCGCACGUAUGCACGCACGCACACACACACACUCCUGCAGAACAAGUUCAGUGUGUAUUAAACAAGCAGACAGUUGUAAAGACAGUAUGCCUCCUGGCUCUCAGCCAUUUUUCCAUCUAAUGUCCCUCCUCUUCUCUCUCUCUCUCUUUCGCUCUCUCUUUCGCUCUCUCUCGCUUUCUCCCCCUCUCUCUCUUUAUCUCCCCCUCUCUGUCUGCCUCUCUUUCUCCUCUAUUUCACCCUGCUAGCAUCAACAGGAAUUAUUCCUCCCUCUCUCCUCUCUUUGUUUGGGGCGCACACUUUCAGAAAUGAAUCACCCUGCAGUCACAUGCUGCAGAAAGAAUUAAGAGACAAAGUUGCUGACAGGGAAAACUUGUAAAAACUUGGCUAAGAAAACUGAAAAGUAACUCUCUGAGUGUUGUUGAUUACUGUCAAAGCUUGAGGCAGUUUGAGUCUAAAGUUGCUUGAACCUAUAACAGUAUAAGUCCCUAUAGCAGGUUAAGCCUUUAGCAGCCUGAGCCUAUAUCUUUCUUAACGUAUCGCAGUAGAGAGGGUGAACUUUGAUAAGUAGAUGCUUCCAAAGAGGAAGGGCCUCUUGACUGAAGCCCUACCUCGCAUACUUCUUUGACAGACCUCAAGUUUUUAUUGUUGCAUCAGUUAUGCAAAUCAUGUCCCAUGUCUGUUUCCUGUACUAUAUUUUUGGUAAUUUUUAUGGGGUACUCUUUAGCUCUGCAUUUCAUAACACGUCUUUAGAUGAGUUUGUGCAGCAUUUGAGUCCAAGUCUAACGUACCUGUGAGCACAAUAAAGAUUAACAUGUUGCAACCUGUUGCAGUGUGCUAUGAUAAAAACAGAUCAGAUACAGUUACGGAUUUUAGUGUAAAGCUAUUUCAAGGCUGUCAUGGUAACUGAAACAAAAAAUAAUCACAAAUUAAAAUGGACAAGGGUGGAGGAACAUGUUACACCAUAAACAUCCCUCACAAAUGCAACUGACUCAUGUACAUGCCAUCUUUGGAGGAUUGUUUGUGAUGUUUUUAUUUUGACAUUUUUACUGUCUCUCAUAUACACAGCUUUAUUGCAAUAUAUACUUUUAUCUUUAAACAAUGUUUAUUCUGGUUCUGGUAAAUAAGUUAUAGAACUGAAUGAAAACAACUGAAUAUAUGAAUCGUAUAUGAAUCCACAUUAAAUUUUGGCACAUCAGUUCAAAAGUGUCUGAUGGUCUUUCAGAAAGCUAUACAUUGGCCCAUUUUAGCAAUAAAUAUAAGACAGUCUUUUUCAGACAUCAGCGUUUUUUUGUCCUCAUCAUGAGGCAAAGCUUUGUAAACAAACUUCUGUCAGAGACUUUUCAACUUUGGGUAAGGACAAUCUGAAGAGUGAAUCCAUUAAAUACAUUAUAUAUAUAUAUAUAUAUAUAUAUAUAUAUAUUAUAUAUAUAUAUAUAUAUAUAUAUAUAUAUAUAUGUGUGUGUGUGUGUGUGUGUGUGUGUGUGUGUGUGUGUGUCUGUCUGUCCCCUUGUCUGUGUGUGGUCUGAUUCUCCUGGGUUCAGAGAGCGUCUCUGUUCUGGAGAUCAGAUCUUCAUCCUAAGAGGACAGAUGUGGACAAACAGAGGGAGAGAUUUGAGGACAGCUGCAGCAGAUACUCAGACUGGAGCUCAGAUUUCGGUUCCUCUUCCUUUUCCUCUCUCUCUCUGCUAGUUUUCUCCCCAUGCCUCAGCCUACACGAUUAGCAUCUAGUUAAAUAAACUUACAAUCUUUACUUCUUCACAGGGAUGCAGUUCAGAGUACAGUUUGAAAGCAAGACGGGUCUGUUGAGCCUGUUUGAAGUCCUUCUAAAGACUCUUUGAGAAAACAAGUUCAGAUAUGUGAAACUUUUUGUGAAAAUAAAAAAGGUGUUUUUUCUUUUUUUUUAAACCUUUGAACAAUGCUGAUUUGGGACAGCAAUGCAUUUGCACAGAUAAAAUAAAGGUUUUGCAAUUCUGAAAAAGUGCUUUUAAAAGUCUACAGUCAUUGGAUUAUCUGCUCCAGGCCUGAGUUGUCAAGGUAUAGCAGUUUUUUAAUCAGUGCCUGUUAUGUGGUCUGAAGGGUUUUUUUUAAAUACAUAAAAAACUGGGUUUCACAAAGUUGAAAGUAGAUUUUAAACACCCUGAAGGCUUACCUAUAUGACAAACAUACUGCUGAACAGUAAGGUACACAGAAGACGAAGACAUUCUGCACUCCAAGAUAAAGUCUCUAUACCCUCUUCAGCAUUGAGGGACCAUUUCAAUCAGUGAGAAGUAAAUUAAUAUUGGUACAUUAUUUAAACAGCAGAAGAUGGUGUCUAUCUCUGAUUUUUCUUAUUGGACAUCAAAUUAAGUGCAAGUAUGUCUAGUAUGUCUACACUCCUUUGUUUAUGUGGAGAAUAUAGUGAGAGAUGAGACUGUAAAUGCUACAACUUUGUUAGAGUUUAAGUCUUAACAGGUGGCUAUAAUCCAACCUGCAUUUUUGACAAAACACCUCUAGAUCACUGACAGACUUAAAAGAUAUUUGGCAUCUCAGGUCAGGUGCUUCAGUGGUUGAGAUUUUACCUGUCAGAAAGAUCUCAGCAGGUUUUAAUUAACGUUUCCCAGAGCCCUCUGCUGUUAAUGGAGUCCCACAGGGGUCUGUCCUUUGUCCGCUGUUGUUUUCAUUGUACCUGGCACCACUCAGUCAGAUAUUGCAUUCAUUUGGGAAUGAUUUCCACUUCUAUGCUGAUGGGUUGCAAAAAGAGGGGAUCAAAGUUGCCUUUUUCCACCUGAGGGGUAUCGCCAAGAUCAGAUCAACCCUGCUGUUUGGUGAUGCUGAGGUUCCUACUCAUGCCUUUGUUUCAUACAAAUAAGAUGAUAGCAAUGUCCUCCUGUCUUGUCUCAGAAGAGUCUGUGUGGUCUGAAGAUGGUUCAAAAUGCAGCAGCUCUCAUUCUGAAAAGAGUAAAUGGCAACAAAAAGUAUCACACAUGCAAGUUUCAUGGUGCACAUGUUCUGUGAGGCUGGGUUUCUUACACCCUUCGUACCCAUGUAUUUAGCAAACACAGAAUUGUGAGUUACUGCAGCAAGGGUUAUGUGUAUUAUUGGAUCCCAAGGUCUAAAAUAAAUUGCACUCAUGUGACAAUUGUUUUAAAUUUCAUAUUCUUUAAACCCUCCUCGACAUUUAUCAUGUCCUAAUUUAUAACUUUAGUUUUCCCAUUGCUUUGACGACUGUGAAAUGAAUUGCCAUGUCUACAUUUUGUGUGUGUGAAGCAUCUGUCUAACCACAUAUGGACAUACACUUAACACACACACAAUCAGUAGAAACAUGAUCUGUUUCAUAUUUCACUUCAAACGUUGAGAAAAGUUCUGCGGAGAAACUUGGCAGCUCAGACAGCAGAGGUUCGAGAACUCUGUGGGAAAAGAUUUAAAGUAUGAGCUGCAGAUAUAAUGUGCGUGCGUGCGUGCGUGCGUGCGUGCGUGCGUGCGUGCGUGCGUGUGUGUGUUCACUCAGAGAUUUUAGGCAGGCGUAAAAAAAAAAGGGGAUGCACACUAAAUGAAAAUAAAUCCUUUGCACUCUGAGUUAAAACAGAUUAAACAGAGCAGGUGUUGGUUAGUCUGAGACGAUGAUCUUAAGGUCUGCAGAGUCAAGGUUUCAUCUGUGAUCCAUCAGGUAGAAGUCUGUGAUUAAGGUCAGAUCUUUACCAAAAACCAGCAAGCAGAGACAGAGGGAAGAUGGGGACAGAGAAAAGAAAAAGGACAAGAGGCAGUCAUAGCUCAAUGUCACACCAAUGUUUUUCCUAUGCAGGCGGAGGAUCUCUGUGUUUUUAAUCAUAUAAAUGUGGACUAAAGUUCAGGUUGUGAUUCAUGUUUAUUUCUCUCCAUCAGCUGAACGGUCGAGUGUUGGCAGGAAGACUCUCUCUGGGCAGAGCCAGCCUGCAGAGCCGUAAAAGAAGCCAUAAAACUCACCUCCAGAACCAGCUCAGCUGCCGUCCAUAUGGCUGCAGGUUUUACAAGGACAAACUGAACCACCUCCUCCUUGCUGCACCUCCUCACAGCUGCACCUCCUCUCUGCCACCUGCUUCAGUGGACAACAGGGGAAAAUGUGCAGCAACAGCCCAAAGAUUUUUAUAGGAGG